AGUGAACGCUGGCGGUAGGCCUAACACAUGCAAGUCGAACGGCAGCACAGUAAGAGCUUGCUCUUACGGGUGGCGAGUGGCGGACGGGUGAGGAAUACAUCGGAAUCUACUUUUUCGUGGGGGAUAACGUAGGGAAACUUACGCUAAUACCGCAUACGACCUACGGGUGAAAGCAGGGGAUCUUCGGACCUUGCGCGAUUGAAUGAGCCGAUGUCGGAUUAGCUAGUUGGCGGGGUAAAGGCCCACCAAGGCGACGAUCCGUAGCUGGUCUGAGAGGAUGAUCAGCCACACUGGAACUGAGACACGGUCCAGGCUCCUACGGGAGGCAGCAGUGGGGAAUAUUGGACAAUGGGCGCAAGCCUGAUCCAGCCAGACCGCGUGGGUGAAGAAGGCCUUCGGGUUGUAAAGCCCUUUUGUUGGGAAAGAAAAGCAGCAGGUUAAUACCCCGCUGUUCUGACGGUACCCAAAGAAUAAGCACCGGCUAACUUCGUG
Molecule: ribosomal RNA, 492 nt
Filed under: uncultured bacterium
Lineage: Bacteria
Description: partial 16S ribosomal RNA
Rfam family: Bacterial small subunit ribosomal RNA
Source: RNAcentral